UCCGGUUUGACACCGGCAGUCUCCCUAGAGUGCCCGGCAUAACCCGCUGGUAACUAGGGACGAGGGUUGCGCUCGUUGCGGGACUUAACCCAACAUCUCACGACACGAGCUGACGACAGCCAUGCAGCACCUGUGCACCGGCCCCGAAGGGCUGCCGUAUUUCUACGACAUUCCGGUGCAUGUCAAGCCUUGGUAAGGUUCUUCGCGUCGCGUCGAAUUAAACCACAUGCUCCGCUGCUUGUGCGGGCCCCCGUCAAUUCCUUUGAGUUUCAACCUUGCGGUCGUACUCCCCAGGCGGGGUACUUCACGCGUUAGCUACGGUACCAAGGAAUCGCUUCCCCAACACCUAGUGAGCAUCGUUUAGGGCGUGGACUAC
Molecule: unclassified non-coding RNA, 376 nt
Filed under: uncultured bacterium
Lineage: Bacteria
Description: contains 16S-23S intergenic spacer region
Source: RNAcentral